AACGAACGCUGGCGGCGUGCCUAACACAUGCAAGUCGAACGAGAAAGGGGCUUCGGCUCCGAGUAAAGUGGCGCACGGGUGAGUAACACGUGGGUAACCUGCCUCUAAGAUUGGGAUAACUCGUCGAAAGAUGAGCUAAUACCGAAUAAGACCACAGUUCCCGCGGGAACAGGGGUCAAAGGUAGCCUCUGCUUGCAAGCUAUCACUCAGAGUUGGGCCUGCGCACCAUUAGCUAGUUGGUAGGGUAACGGCCUACCAAGGCGAGGAUGGUUAGCUGGUCUGCGAGGAUGGUCAGCCACACUGGGACGGAGACACGGUCCAGACUCCUACGGGAGGCAGCAGUGGGGAAUAUGGCGCAAGCGGCGAGAGCUUGACGCAGCAGCGCCGCGUGAGUGAUGAAGGCCUUCGGGUCGUAAAGGUCGGUCGGGAGGAACGAAUGCUCCUGAGGUUAACAGCCUCGGGAGGUGACGGUACCUUCAAAGGAAGCACCGGCUAACUCUGUG
This 503-nucleotide ribosomal RNA is filed under the name uncultured bacterium. RNAcentral describes it as "partial 16S ribosomal RNA". It matches the Rfam family "Bacterial small subunit ribosomal RNA", at positions 29 to 507 of the family's 1533-position model. The record is from RNAcentral.